RNAcentral lists this ribosomal RNA (229 nucleotides) under uncultured bacterium. Its description in RNAcentral is "partial 16S ribosomal RNA". It matches the Rfam family "Bacterial small subunit ribosomal RNA", at positions 568 to 796 of the family's 1533-position model. The record is from RNAcentral.
UACGUAGGCGUAAAAUUAAGUCAGUAGUGAAAUCCUGCAGCUUAACUGUAGAACUGUUAUUGAUACUGGUUUUCUUGAAUAUAGUUGAGGUAGGCGGAAUGUGUAAUGUAGCGGUGAAAUGCUUAGAUAUUACACAGAACACCGAUUGCGAAGGCAGCUUACUAAGCUAUGAUUGACGCUGAGGUACGAAAGCGUGGGGAGCGAACAGGAUUAGAUACCCUGGUAGUCC